RNAcentral lists this ribosomal RNA (1737 nucleotides) under Triticum aestivum (bread wheat). RNAcentral describes it as "partial small subunit ribosomal RNA". Lineage: Eukaryota; Viridiplantae; Streptophyta; Magnoliopsida; Poales; Poaceae. The record is from RNAcentral.
AUGCACAGAAGACCAGACAAGCACCUUCAUCUCUCAAGGAGAGUCGUUUCAGUGGAAUCACAUGGAACGCUGAGAGUGUCCAUAGAAGCAUAUGGAAAAUCUCGUCGCUGUAUUGCUCGAGAAGGUCACAUCAAAUUCCCUGUUCAGCAGUGCCAAACAAGAAGGAUUGAGUGUCAAGUUGGCGACUCCACGGUGGAGGUUGCUGUAGGCUGGUCGUUGCUUGUGAAGGAAAAAGCACUCUUGACCGUGAUGAGGCAGUCCGGGAUGGAGAUGGAGAUGGAGAUGGAUUCUGAUUCUGAUUCUGACUCUGGCUCCGGCUCUGGUUCCGGCCAUGAGAUGGACGAGAGGGAUUCCAGCAAGGAGCGAGUGAGGGAUGCCAGCGGCAAGGAGAUUGUGCAGAUGGCCAAUGACUUGGUUGAUGUUCUUUCCGGACACCUUGGGAUGCUUAAGAGGGAGAUCUCGUUCCUGAGGACAGAGGUCAAGUCCCGGGGAUUGGCUGGAAACAGGGCUUGUCAAGAGCAAAUCAUGUCUAACCUAGGGCCCCUCGAUGAAAAUCUUCUCAAGAAGGUGAAUUUGCCUUACCUAGGUUCCAACACUGAGGAGGUGAUGGAUUUUCUGCUGGUCGAAACGCAGCAGUUGCUCUACCGCUUCAACUCUCUCGCAUCCAUUCUACAAAAAGUCAGAAUCCCCAUAUCUUCCGACAAGAUUGAUAAGCUGCGUCUCAUAUCCAAUGCACUUGUGGGCAUCUCGGAGCUUAUUAUCAAGAGGCACAAAUCUGUUGCUGCUGACAAGCAAGAUGGUGAAGAUCGUUUGGACUGUGCCGGCUGGGAGGCUACAUGGGGAAGCUCGACGGGAAGACAUGGUUGCUUUGACGACAUAACAACAUUGAGUCCUAUGCAGUUUACGGCUUCCACGCCUGGAAGCUUCCCAUCCUCGUCCGUGGCUGGUCCUGCCUUGGAGAUCUACUCAAUCAAGCUCAUUAAUCUGAAUCCUAAUCUGAGUUGGCCCAUUGAUGUCUAUGGCGUGGUCGCUGCACGGGAUGAUUUUGACCACAACCUCAACAUUCUCUUCUGCCGGUCAAGUGCAGACUGCCAAAGAAUUAACCAAGAGGACCCUUUUUUGCACUUGAUUGGCCCGUCUCGUGCAAUUGUAGCUGAAGAACCUGUGAUGUUUCAAAUUGAACUGAAAUUGAAGUAUGGAGCAAAUUUCAAAGAUACAGCAUUGUUGACUUCCAACCAAAGUUAUCGCCCCAUCAUGCCAUAUGAUACCAUGCAGAUCUAUAACCGCUGUUGUACAGCAGAGAUAAGCCUUGGGCGAGUUGAUCCAGCAAUCCAGGCCACAAUUGUAGGUGUUUGUGUGACUAAAGGGGAGUGGCCUUUUAAGUAUGGAUGUAAAGUUUCUUGCUUGUUUUCUCCUGCUGAUGCAACGGAGGGAUGCGCGGCAGAAGUCGUUUUGCUUGACCGCCGUGCUAAAAGGAUGCGUGCGGGAUCAGAUGGGUAUCUUUCUUUGUCAAGAAAUGUCGUGUCAGUGGGAUUGCAGGGCACACUCCGAGUCGUCACAGAAGCAUACUCAGAGUCUGGACUCAAUAUUGUUCGAAAAUAUCACGCUGAAUUUCCUAUCCAGCAGUGUCAGAUAGAUAGUUGUGAGUGCUCAGUUGACGGCUCCACAUUGAAGAUAGUUGUUGCUUGGUCUCGCCUUGCCAUUGACAAGGAUGAUCUUGUAAACGAUGGUUAUUGA